Zingiber officinale is the source of this 1455-nucleotide RNA transcript. It is a transcript of the gene named SAGA-associated factor 11-like, with no coding region annotated. The record is from RefSeq and is a predicted model, not a curated record. NCBI's taxonomy places the organism in Eukaryota, Viridiplantae, Streptophyta, Magnoliopsida, Zingiberales, Zingiberaceae. The transcript has 6 exons.
UAUUCACUUCCUCGUUGGAUUCCAACCUCUGCGUUCUCGAUUUCUUAUGCCGGUGCGCGACAGACGCCGCCGCCGCCUUUGAUCUCGUCAUCGGUGGAUCCCGACUGAGCGCUAUCACCUCUCCCUCUCUCUCUAAUUUGCCAAAUUGUAGUAUUUCCCCAUCAUCGAAUCGCUUGCGAGUUAGCAUCUUGUUUUCGAGUAUGUCCGCCCUCAAUGAUGGCAGUUCGUCCCCUCGAUCGCAGGUCACCAUUGAGCAGCGUGCCUCUCGAUGCUUCGAUGAUCUCCUCGAAUCCAUCAUCGUGGAUGUCGCAUCGGAAUGCCAUCGGAUAGCGAGGUUGGGCCUAGACCUCAAUCUGGAAGUGGAAGAGGAGGAGCUUCGGCUCUCCGCGCAAGCCCGGAUGGCGGAUCCUAGCUGCAGUAGUGAAUCAAAUAGCAAAAAUGUGGUGGACAUCUUCGGCCAGACUCAUCCACCCAUCGCUAGCGAGACCUUCAACUGCAUGAACUGUGGUCGGCCUGUCACGGCUGGAAGGUUCGCUCCUCACCUAGAGAAGUGCAUGGGCAAGGGCCGUAAGGCGCUCUCGAAGAUCACCAGAAGCACUACAAUUGCAAGAAACCGGCAUGCUCGUGGCAGUCCAGUGACGGUCUAUGCUCCAUAUUCCACUAGUACUAACAGUAACAUAGUUCCCGAAGGCACUCCAAGGACAGCCAGGGAGGAAUUUGCAGAAUACACAUUCGAGGAGCCGUGACAUUUCUUCAAAGGACCGCUAGUUCACCCGCUCGUUCAGUUUAAGAAAUGGUAGCCCGAGGAGCAAAAAGGACCCAUGUUAACUGCAACAAGAAUGGGGUUAAGAUUUGGGUAGUCACAUGACGAACUUACAUUGUAAGAGGAAAGAUUUGCAAAUGGAAAAACAAGAGAGAAUUUAUAGAAGCAGCAUAUUUUCAAUAACCGACUCUAAUCUACUUGCCCAAAUCUCCAAGUUGAGCUCACCUGACAUGAGCAACUGCUAGAGAAGAAGACUCGGUAAUGAAGGUGCUUGAAUCCUUUUAUUUUUGUGCCAAUACAUUGUUUCUUUAUAUCACUCUCCGAUUUUCCUAACUAAAGCUGAAUACUUGAGUUGAAUAUUUCAAGAUACAGAUGGAAGCUAGAUUUGCAUUCCCUCUUUUUUUAAAGAGCCUACUGUUUUAUCAUAUUCAUCCAGUCCAUUCAACUUCAAGAUGGUUCAUUCCCCUUAUCAAGUUCAUGAAGAUUAUGAGGUGCGCAUUGUCCAAAAAUUGCUAUUGAGAAUUCCGGAUCGGCGCUUAGUUCACAGAUUCAUGUAAACCUUUUUCAUGUUGAACCCGUGCAGCAUGUUGUUUUCACUCAUCAAAGCUGAAGUUUGUCAAACUGAAUUUAGCUGUUGUUUUUGUUUGCUUGAGCCACAAAUGGUUGCAUUAAAUACAAAGAGCAUUUGUAUC